Molecule: long non-coding RNA, 2916 nt
Filed under: Homo sapiens (human)
Lineage: Eukaryota; Metazoa; Chordata; Mammalia; Primates; Hominidae
Description: PREDICTED lncRNA (TCONS_00044580)
Source: RNAcentral
CUCUCUCUCUCUCUCCUGCUGCAUUGUGAAGAAACUGCUUGCUUCCCUCUCACCCUCUGCAGUUUCCUGAGGCCUCCCCAGCCAUGCGGAACGCCUGCUUCCAUAUCGUAAACUGCCUUGGAACCAAUUACCACUACCAGGGAGACAAACUAUUGCUUAGAGGAUGCUGACAGGAGCAGCAUGCCAAAAUUGGAAGAAUGUUGUCUCUCAGCUGGUGCCACGAAUAGGUCUUCAGCAGGCUGUUCCAUUCCACCAUUCUGUCUGGCCCACUGCUUCUUACAAGAUUAAGAUAGCAGAUCCCAUGGGUGUAGCUGUAGACCAAGACCUGGAAUUAACACAUCAGAAGAUUCUAUGAGGAAACCCAUUUAAAAAUAGGAUGCAUUUUUUUCUUUUCUGCACAGGGAGAAAGUUUAAGCUCUCCUCACUAUGAGUUUUCAAGUAUAAAAGACUUUUUCUUCCACGAUUUUGAGAACAACUGAGGACUCUUGUGACCAGGACAACAGGGAAGCUUGCAGCAAGAUAGCUCCAGGUUGGAUUCAUGCUUCGCACCCCAAGGGCUGCCAGCCAGAGAGGAGGAGAAGCAAUCACUCCUGCAGUUUCUGAACACUACACAGACGCCAGGUAGCUUCUUCAGGAGAACAGCCCUCUGAGGAGGCAGGAAGAGGAGGCUUAUCUUUCAGCAGCCGGAGCUGCUGAGAUCUCUGGGCAGAUUAAGCUCUCUCUAAUGGAUGGGCUCCAGCCUGGCACAUUCAGUGGAGAGGGAUCCACUCAUCCAUCAUCAACAUAAUAUGGUCCUCCCUGCACUUCACAGUGUCCUCUUGCUAUUGAAAAGGCUUUUUUGCCUUCUCAAGUUUCUUUGUCAACAGUCUACAGGAAGAAGCUCAGGCCGCCACCGGCAGAGGUGAAUGCAAGCUCACGUUUUAUUUCUGACUGCUUAAUCAUUGCCUCGAUCACUGCUCAAGCUCUGCCUUUGUUUCCAAAGGUUACCUGUGGGAAAACUUCUUUUUCUAUGCUGAAAUUAAUAGGGAGGCAAAGAUGAGUCCACUGAUAAGCAGAGCCUUAAAACUCACAUAGAGAAACAACUUUGCUGGAGUGUGUGUGAGUGAACCACUAAGGAAUCAGAUAGUGUGAUGGCAGUUAUCAUUGCAGGUUAAGACAUUUCUACAAAUAUUUCGACAUCUCCAUAUACUCACUCCUUUCCCCCCUGAGUGGAGAGACUCAGCUACCAAGAGAGGAAGCUCAAAAAAAACAGAAGCUUCAAACAAACAACCAACCAAAAAAAAAAAAAAACUGUGGGUUCAUCAGAGGUGGUAGGGAAGACAAAAACAUGGGAGGAGCAGCUGGGCACGGUGGCUCAAGCCUGUAAUCCCAGCACUUUGCGAGGCUGAGGUGGGUGGAUCACCUGAGGUCAGGAGUUCGAGACCAGCCUGGCCAACAUGGUGAAACCCCAUCUCUACUAAAAAUACAAAAAAUUAGCCGGGCGUUGUGGUACGCACCUGUAAUCCCAGCUACUCCGGAGGCUGAGGCAGCAGAAUCGCUUGAACCCAGGAGGCAGAGGUUGCAACGAGCCAAGAUCGCACCAUUGCACUCCAGCCUGGGCAACAAGAGCGAAACUCCAUCUAAAAAAAACAAACAAGCAAACAAACAAAAAACACGGGAGGAGCAAUAAAAAGGAAUCCAUGCUUUGAUUUUUUUUUUUAGUGAGAGGAAGGGAAGGCUGCUGCCUCUCACUUCUCCCUGUUUUGUUGUUCUUUUAAGUAGCAUGUGUCACUCUGUAUAUAUCCUGUCCAUGUGUUUUCUUUUAUUAUUAUUUGUCCACUUGCCUAGAAUGAAAACUCCAUGGGAGCAUGGCUAUAGUGUCUUGUUCACUCCUGCCUCUCCAGGGCCUGAAACAGAAGUAGGUAGACAGAGCCUGAAACAAAAGUAGGCAGUCCAUAAACUUUGCUGAAGGAAUGAGUGAAUGAAUGAAGACCCCAAGGAUGGACCUCAGGAAGAACCUUCCACUGGCCACUCAGCGAAAGGCAGCUGAUUCAGCACCUGGAGAAGACCGGCAACAGGGCUGAGUUUCCUUGCACUGCAGAGGAGGGGAGAGGCAAGGAGUGGACAUGAGCACGGAGGAUCCAGGGCACUCCCUUGAUGGUGAUGCCCUCGAAGGGCUGCCCCGUGCCCAUUGUACAGAAUGUGGAUUCCACCCCACGCCAUGAGAGCUCUCGCGCAGGCCCAGACCACUUUAUAAGCCAUAUUUCCCACCAAUUCCUGUUUCUGGAUCUGUCAGGUUAUUUCAUAUUUCUAGGCCCUUAGCUUUGCUUCCUCUUCCCUGAACGCCCUUUGCCCACAUCAUCCCAGCUCUCCUUCUCCUCCUGCCUUCUGUCUUCUCUUCCUCUCAUUUCUUGUCACCCAGGCUGGAGUCCAGUGGCGUGAUCACGGCUCACUACAGCCUUGAACUCCCGGGCUCAGGUGAUCCUCCCACCUGAGCCUCCCGAGUAGCUGGGACUACAGAUGCACACCACCAUGCCAGCUAAUUUUUAAAACUGUUUUUAGGGAUGGGGUCAUCUUCCUGUGUUGCCCAGGCUUGUCUCAAACUCCUGGGCUCAAGUGAUCCUCUCACCUCAGCCUUCCAAAGUGCUGGGAUUACAGGCAUGAGCCACAACAUCCAGCCCCUUUUCUCUUUUCUUACCCUUCUUUCCUAUUUUCUUUUCCAUUUUCUUUCCCUCCCUUCUUCUUUCUUUCCUAACUAUUAAGGAGUAGAUUGAAUUCAAGGUCUUUAUGUGUGUCAGUUUUUGUUUUCCAACAAAUAUUUCUUAAAAACCAACCAUUGAAACGUAAUGGUAACCACUGGCCCCUGUCUCCACCUCCACACCUAAGAAGCCCCAAAUCCAGAUGUGUCCAUUAAAAUCAGUCCAGAUCUUCUUUACC